This 409-nucleotide ribosomal RNA is filed under the name uncultured bacterium. RNAcentral describes it as "bacterial SSU rRNA". It matches the Rfam family "Bacterial small subunit ribosomal RNA", at positions 97 to 519 of the family's 1533-position model. The record is from RNAcentral.
GGCGAUCGGGUGAGUAACACGUAGGUGACCUACCCCGAAGAGGGGGAUAACGGCCCGAAAGGGCUGCUAAUACCCAUGUGGUUGGCGAUUCAGUUCGCCAAUUAAAGCUUCCGCAAGGAGUGUGCUUUGGGAGGGGCCUGCGGCGGAUUAGAUUGUUGGUGGGGUAAUGGCCUACCAAGUCGAUGAUCCGUAGCUAGUCUGAGAGGACGAUUAGCCACACUGGCACUGACACACGGGCCAGACUCCUACGGGAGGCAGCAGCAGGGAAUAUUGCACAAUGGGCGAAAGCCUGAUGCAGCAACGCCGCGUGAGGGAUGAAGGUCUUCGGAUUGUAAACCUCUUUUCCAGGGGACGAGAAGGGACUGUACCCUGGGAAUAAGCAACGGCUAACUACGUGCCAGCCGCCGCG